RNAcentral lists this ribosomal RNA (465 nucleotides) under uncultured Stenotrophomonas sp. RNAcentral describes it as "bacterial SSU rRNA". It matches the Rfam family "Bacterial small subunit ribosomal RNA", at positions 338 to 795 of the family's 1533-position model. The record is from RNAcentral. Lineage: Bacteria; Pseudomonadati; Pseudomonadota; Gammaproteobacteria; Lysobacterales; Lysobacteraceae.
CCUACGGGUGGCUGCAGUGGGGAAUAUUGGACAAUGGGCGCAAGCCUGAUCCAGCCAUACCGCGUGGGUGAAGAAGGCCUUCGGGUUGUAAAGCCCUUUUGUUGGGAAAGAAAAGCAAUCGGCUAAUACCCGGUUGUUCUGACGGUACCCAAAGAAUAAGCACCGGCUAACUUCGUGCCAGCAGCCGCGGUAAUACGAAGGGUGCAAGCGUUACUCGGAAUUACCGGGCGUAAAGCGUGCGUAGGUGGUUGUUUAAGUCUGUUGUGAAAGCCCUGGGCUCAACCUGGGAAUUGCAGUGGAUACUGGGCGACUAGAGUGUGGUAGAGGGUAGUGGAAUUCCCGGUGUAGCAGUGAAAUGCGUAGAGAUCGGGAGGAACAUCCAUGGCGAAGGCAGCUACCUGGACCAACACUGACACUGAGGCACGAAAGCGUGGGGAGCAAACAGGAUUAGAUACCCUGGUAGUC